AUGGACACCGGCGAGCAAGCCGGGGAGGAGUCGUCGGCCAACCGCCGGGAGCGCCUCCUCGCCCUCCGCUCCUCCGCCGCCGCCGCCGCCGCCUCCAACUCCUCCUCCUCGCCGUCUGCCGCGCCGCCGCCGCCCGCGUGGGAUCUCCCGGAGCCCGACCUGGCGCCCACCUCCUCCGCCCCGCGCCCGCGCUCGCGGUUCGACUUCUACACCAACCCCGGCGCGGCCUUCUCCUCCUCCGCCGCCGCCGUCCCGCAGAAGCGCAAGAGCGCCGACCCCCCGGGCCCCAAUCCCGCCCCGGCCCCGCCUCACGGGAACUCUGGCAACAAUUAUCCUCCUCCACACCAGCACCAUAUGGCCCAAUCUCCGAUGGAAGGUGCACCAGGGAAUAGUCCAUGGAGAAGUCCUAUGCAGUUCCAGACUCCUAUGUCUGGAUACCGAGGAACACCUCCUGGACCUCCACCUCACUGGAACCCACAUUCUGCUUCUCCAGCUCAAGAUCCGUAUCCACAUCAACCCAACUUUGGGUUCAGAGGCCCUAAUGUUGGCCGAGGGGGCAGCCCGAUGAAUUAUGGACCAGGAGGUAGCCCGAUGAAUUACGGACCAAGAGGUAACCCGAUGAAUUACGGACCAGGAGGUAGCCCGAUGAGUUACGAACCAAGAGGAAGCCCGAGGAGUUAUGUACCAAGAGGUAGCCCGCACUCGUCUUCCGGACGUGGCAGGGGCGAGAACUACUACCACAGCCCAGGUUCGAGAGGAAGAGGGGGAAGGGGUGGCUUCCAGAACCAUUCUGGUUCGCAAGAUCAGAGGAACUUCUACAGGAAGUCUAUGGUUGAUGAUCCUUGGCAGGGCUUGCAGCCUAUCGUUGGCAGCAUACUGAAACCCAUCGAUGACGCCAAGUCCUGGCUUCCAGAGUCAUUGCGCAAAAAGGAGACACCUAAUCAAGGCCGAACAAUAUCAAAUCCAACAUCAGGGUUGAGUCUGGCAGAAUACCUCGCCUCGUCUUUCAACGAGGCUUCUAACGAGUCUAAUGAGAUGUGA
This 1041-nucleotide ribosomal RNA is filed under the name Triticum aestivum (bread wheat). RNAcentral describes it as "partial small subunit ribosomal RNA". The record is from RNAcentral. Lineage: Eukaryota; Viridiplantae; Streptophyta; Magnoliopsida; Poales; Poaceae.